AAAAUAAUCCUACCCUUUGUGAAUUUUGUUUGUUUGAAUAAUUUUUUUUUUUUAAAAAAUUAUUGGAGUCUUCCCCUUUAGAGUUUGCUUUUGAGUUUGUAAAAGAAUUCGAAAACAUCUAAAGGGGAUGGUCAAUAAUUUUUUUUGAAAAAAGACAUUUUUUAAAAUUAAACUUUUUGUAUUCAUUUGUCUAAAAAUUAUUUUUAUAAUAUAAAAACAACUUUUGACAAUGGAUCUCUUGGUUCUCGCAACGAUGAAGAACGCAGCAAAAUGCGAUAAGUAGUGUGAAUUGCAGAAUACGUGAAUCAUCGAAUCUUUGAACGCAUAUUGCACUUUUUUAGUUUACUAAAAAAGUAUGUCUGUUUGAGUAUCAGUAAAAUAUUCUCAUAAAAAUCAUUGUGUAUUUUUAUGGUUAUGAGUGUUUUACAACGAUACAAGUUGUUUCACUUUAAAUUUUUUUUUAAUAUUGAAAUUUUUCUAAUUUUAAUAAUUAAAAUUGGAUAAAAUUUUCCCGUCAAAAGGAAUAACCUAAACAAUUUUAAAUGAUUAAUUUUAGCAAAAUUUUCGUAAAAAAGGAAAAUUUUUAUUAAAAUAACUUGAUCUCAAAUCAGAUAAGAGUACCCGCUGAACUUAAGCAUAUCAAUAAGCGGAGGAAAAGAAACUAACAAGGAUUCCCUUAGUAACGGCGAGUGAAGCGGGAAGAGCUCAAAUUUGAAAUCUUCAAGGUUUUACCUUGACGAAUUGUAGUUUAAAGAAGUGUUCUCUGCUGAAGUUUUGGUAAAAGUUCUUUGGAAUAGGACAUCAUAGAGGGUGAGAAUCCCGUAUUUGACCAUUAUUUUCAGCUUUGUGAUACACUUUCAAAGAGUCGGAUUGUUUGGGAAUGCAGUCCAAAAUGGGUGGUAAAUUUCAUCUAAAGCUAAAUAUUGGCGAGAGACCGAUAGCGAACAAGUACCGUGAGGGAAAGAUGAAAAGAACUUUGAAAAGAGAGUUAAACAGUACGUGAAAUUGUCAAAAGGGAAGCGUUUGACACCAGUGUUGUUUUCUCGAAAAUCAAUUAAAAAUGGCUCGAUUUUGUAUUGCUUGAGACCUUAAAAGCUCACUGUACAUUUUUCGUGUCUUUUUUAAUGCACUUUUCGUUUAACAAGUCAACAUCAGUUUCUUUUGUUGUAAAAGGGUCAUUGGAAGGUGGCUUUCUUUUCGGAGAAAGUGUUUAUAGCCUUUGGCCUCUGCAAUCGGAGAGACUGAGGUCUGCAGCGUAGACUCUUCGGGGUUAGAUACAUUUGUGCUAGUUAUAGCUUUUUAUAGACAACUUGUUGACUAUAAUUAGUCUUGUAGCUUACUCGCUUAUGCUAUUUUACCUACGCUUAGGAUG
RNAcentral lists this unclassified non-coding RNA (1372 nucleotides) under uncultured Neocallimastigales. RNAcentral's name for it is "partial contains internal transcribed spacer 1, 5.8S ribosomal RNA, internal transcribed spacer 2, and large subunit ribosomal RNA". The stretch from base 598 to 1372 matches the Rfam family "Eukaryotic large subunit ribosomal RNA", at positions 1 to 634 of the family's 3401-position model. Lineage: Eukaryota; Fungi; Neocallimastigomycota; Neocallimastigomycetes; Neocallimastigales. The record is from RNAcentral.